This 31-nucleotide small RNA is filed under the name Bombyx mori (domestic silkworm). RNAcentral describes it as "ovarian small RNA-30193". The record is from RNAcentral. Lineage: Eukaryota; Metazoa; Arthropoda; Insecta; Lepidoptera; Bombycidae.
UCUUGCGUUGUAUGAUGGCUACCCGCCACAA